RNAcentral lists this long non-coding RNA (881 nucleotides) under Panax ginseng (ginseng). Its description in RNAcentral is "long non-coding RNA (PGIN_LNC005735)". Lineage: Eukaryota; Viridiplantae; Streptophyta; Magnoliopsida; Apiales; Araliaceae. The record is from RNAcentral.
UUCGGGAAAUUUCUUUCAAUAAACACUUGGAGUUUUUGAAAACAUUUUUGAGAAUGACGUCAUGAUGCCGCACUGUAUUUACAGUCCGUUGAGGAUUUCGUCAUUUGGUGAUUUUGUCAUACUACAUUAUACCAUAAUGGAAUAGUGACUUUAAGUCAAAUUCACACUAAGUAAUACUGCAUUGAUGACUCCAUCAUUUUUAUCAUCUCUGCACCAGGUCAAAUGGUACAUAAGUGAUAAAUAAAAACAAUUUUUUUUUUUAAAAGCACAUAGUGCGUAUUUAUCUUGAUGUCAAAAUAUCGAAGUUUAGCAUAGCUAGGAGUUUAGGAAAACCUAAGUCUCCACUAAUGAUCAUUUGCUUAAACAUUCUAUCUAUUCCUAUUAUCCUUAACACUCCAUUCACACACAACUAUACCCAGUUCAUAAAACCACACUUAUGAGUUCAUAACCUGGCCACAAUUAUAUGAGUUUACGAACUUACCCUAGUCUGACCUUUGGCGUCCGUUCGCUGAGGGGCUCAUAAACAUUUCAUAUAACUAUGAGUCAAGAAUGUCACAUAAGUAUGAGUUCUAAGAACUCGUACUUAAUCCUAUAUUCUCUACCUAUGACCUAUUUAUCUGUAUAUAACAACUAGCGUGACACAACAUUUCAAUUAUUACCAAUGCCACCAACUAAGUAGUUUUUACACCAAGUACGAUUCCCCGCCCAUACAAGAAAUCAUACAACUCAGUUGUUGACACGAGUCCUCAUUGAAAUCCCCACCUAAUACUUAACCCCCUUCUCAAUACGAAUUUCAUUUAAUCCGUAUUCAUAAUCCUUUUCUGAAUCUGUACCAUUCACACAGCAAUCAUGCUUUAAACUUUUCAAUCAUCAGAUUGAUU